GAUGAACGCUGGCGGCGUGCCUAAUACAUGCAAGUCGAGCGAACGGACGAGAAGCUUGCUUUUCUGAUGUUAGCGGCGGACGGGUGAGUAACACGUGGAUAACCUACCUAUAAGACUGGGAUAACUUCGGGAAACCGGAGCUAAUACCGGAUAAUAUUUUGAACCGCAUGGUUCAAAAGUGAAAGACGGUCUUGCUGUCACUUAUAGAUGGAUCCGCGCUGCAUUAGCUAGUUGGUAAGGUAACGGCUUACCAAGGCAACGAUGCAUAGCCGACCUGAGAGGGUGAUCGGCCACACUGGAACUGAGACACGGUCCAGACUCCUACGGGAGGCAGCAGUAGGGAAUCUUCCGCAAUGGGCGAAAGCCUGACGGAGCAACGCCGCGUGAGUGAUGAAGGUCUUCGGAUCGUAAAACUCUGUUAUUAGGGAAGAACAUAUGUGUAAGUAACUGUGCACAUCUUGACGGUACCUAAUCAGAAAGCCACGGCUAACUACGUGCCAGCAGCCGCGGUAAUACGUAGGUGGCAAGCGUUAUCCGGAAUUUAUGGGCGUAAAGCGCGCGUAGGCGGUUUUUUAGUCUGAUGUGAAAGCCCACGGCUCAACCGUGGAGGGUCAUUGGAAACUGGAAAACUUGAGUGCAGAAGAGGAAAGUGGAAUUCCAUGUGUAGCGGUGAAAUGCGCAGAGAUGUGGAGGAACACCAGUGGCGAAGGCGACUUUCUGGUCUGUAACUGACGCUGAUGUGCGAAAGCGUGGGGAUCAAACAGGAUUAGAUACCCUGGUAGUCCACGCCGUAAACGAUGAGUGCUAAGUGUUAGGGGGUUUCCGCCCCUUAGUGCUGCAGCUAACGCAUUAAGCACUCCGCCUGGGGAGUACGACCGCAAGGUUGAAACUCAAAGGAAUUGACGGGGGCCCGCACAAGCGGUGGAGCAUGUGGUUUAAUUCGAAGCAACGCGAAGAACCUUACCAAAUCUUGACAUCCUUUGACAACUCUAGAGAUAGAGCCUUCCCCUUCGGGGGACAAAGUGACAGGUGGUGCAUGGUUGUCGUCAGCUCGUGUCGUGAGAUGUUGGGUUAAGUCCCGCAACGAGCGCAACCCUUAAGCUUAGUUGCCAUCAUUAAGUUGGGCACUCUAAGUUGACUGCCGGUGACAAACCGGAGGAAGGUGGGGAUGACGUCAAAUCAUCAUGCCCCUUAUGAUUUGGGCUACACACGUGCUACAAUGGACAAUACAAAGGGCAGCGAAACCGCGAGGUCAAGCAAAUCCCAUAAAGUUGUUCUCAGUUCGGAUUGUAGUCUGCAACUCGACUACAUGAAGCUGGAAUCGCUAGUAAUCGUAGAUCAGCAUGCUACGGUGAAUACGUUCCCGGGUCU
This 1371-nucleotide ribosomal RNA is filed under the name uncultured bacterium. RNAcentral describes it as "bacterial SSU rRNA". It matches the Rfam family "Bacterial small subunit ribosomal RNA", at positions 28 to 1381 of the family's 1533-position model. The record is from RNAcentral.